GACACAGAUGUUUUGCCCUGCGCAGGUGGCGAGAGCGGAGUUUCUCCUGCUGCACCCACAACGGCAGCACGAUGCUGGAGAGUGGCACCUACAACAAGUUCAGGACAGAGCUCAGCGACAUGCCUGCAGUUGUGGCCUGAUGGGAGUAGGAAGGAUACAGAGACCUGCUAUUUCACCGACAGCUGGAGAGCAGAGCCCCUCCCUGCCGUGGAAAUGCCAACCCGCCAUCAGCCACUGCACGGGGGUGGGAGCCACAGGACAGCAAAACGCAGGCAAAGGCAUCAGGGGGAGAGCAGUUGGCCAGGGAAUGGGUUCAGAAAUGCCUGGUGAAGAGCAGCUGUUUGCCUCUGUGAUCCUAGUGGAGAUGAGCACUGCCCUUGCUGGUUCUGUCCUGCUUGCCUACAGCUUUCCUUGUAAUCCCAUGCCUGACAAGGAUCGACCAGGGUGUAGGGGAGCACAGAUGAGGUUGUAGCUGUGAAGGAGCUGGGUACCAUGACAAGGUGCUUAAAUCCCCUUGGCAGCAGCCUUUUCGCUCUCAGAGUGUUGGUGUCCCACAGGGCAACAAUCUUGAUAUCCCUCCUGUUAUGCGCUAAACCUCUGUUUGUGCAUCUUUGUUUUGCACACACUGAAAACAUCUGAGCGUCCUGCUUGUCCUCGGCUGCCGGUGUUUCUCCAGUCAGACUGACUUCCUCUGCUCCACACACUCCCUCCCUACUGGCAGGUCUCCUCCAGCCCCAAGUGUGCACCAACCCCACCAUGAUGGUCCAGCGCUGCUGGCUGGUUUAUCAGGGUCUGCACCUCUCCAUAACACAGGCAGGGGAAGCCUACCAUUAGCCCUGCUGGGAUAGCCCCUUCCCCUUCUUGGCUGUGGGCAAGGGUGUUUCUUUCCAAAGGUGCUGAAGGGUGUUUUGGUGCCUUGGCGAUGUAACCACUGGGACUAUAACCAGGAGCACACACAUCAGGGGGUUUGUGCUACAUGUGACCUGGUCCCACCAAGUGUCCUGUUUGCUUUUCCCUUGGGAAGAUCUUUAUACUUGCUCUGCAUCCUGGCAUUUAUUCUGAUUUUUAUUACUCCUAGUGGCUGUUGGCACACAUGAGGAAGGGGGUCUACGCACAGCUCUGCCCUAUUCUGCAAGGGAGAUGUGAGCAUCUCUCAGGUUUAAGCCAUAAACUUCUACUUGAACAGAUAAUAA
RNAcentral lists this long non-coding RNA (1193 nucleotides) under Apteryx owenii (little spotted kiwi). RNAcentral describes it as "lncRNA (ENSAOWG00000000175.1)". The record is from RNAcentral. Lineage: Eukaryota; Metazoa; Chordata; Aves; Apterygiformes; Apterygidae.